This 1506-nucleotide ribosomal RNA is filed under the name Escherichia coli O25b:H4-ST131. Its description in RNAcentral is "partial 23S ribosomal RNA". It matches the Rfam family "Bacterial large subunit ribosomal RNA", at positions 1292 to 2781 of the family's 2925-position model. The record is from RNAcentral. Lineage: Bacteria; Pseudomonadati; Pseudomonadota; Gammaproteobacteria; Enterobacterales; Enterobacteriaceae.
GAAUGCUGACAUAAGUAACGAUAAAGCGGGUGAAAAGCCCGCUCGCCGGAAGACCAAGGGUUCCUGUCCAACGUUAAUCGGGGCAGGGUGAGUCGACCCCUAAGGCGAGGCCGAAAGGCGUAGUCGAUGGGAAACAGGUUAAUAUUCCUGUACUUGGUGUUACUGCGAAGGGGGGACGGAGAAGGCUAUGUUGGCCGGGCGACGGUUGUCCCGGUUUAAGCGUGUAGGCUGGUUUUCCAGGCAAAUCCGGAAAAUCAAGGCUGAGGCGUGAUGACGAGGCACUACGGUGCUGAAGCGACAAAUGCCCUGCUUCCAGGAAAAGCCUCUAAGCAUCAGGUAACAUCAAAUCGUACCCCAAACCGACACAGGUGGUCAGGUAGAGAAUACCAAGGCGCUUGAGAGAACUCGGGUGAAGGAACUAGGCAAAAUGGUGCCGUAACUUCGGGAGAAGGCACGCUGAUAUGUAGGUGAAGCGACUUGCUCGUGGAGCUGAAAUCAGUCGAAGAUACCAGCUGGCUGCAACUGUUUAUUAAAAACACAGCACUGUGCAAACACGAAAGUGGACGUAUACGGUGUGACGCCUGCCCGGUGCCGGAAGGUUAAUUGAUGGGGUUAGCGGUAACGCGAAGCUCUUGAUCGAAGCCCCGGUAAACGGCGGCCGUAACUAUAACGGUCCUAAGGUAGCGAAAUUCCUUGUCGGGUAAGUUCCGACCUGCACGAAUGGCGUAAUGAUGGCCAGGCUGUCUCCACCCGAGACUCAGUGAAAUUGAACUCGCUGUGAAGAUGCAGUGUACCCGCGGCAAGACGGAAAGACCCCGUGAACCUUUACUAUAGCUUGACACUGAACAUUGAGCCUUGAUGUGUAGGAUAGGUGGGAGGCUUUGAAGUGUGGACGCCAGUCUGCAUGGAGCCGACCUUGAAAUACCACCCUUUAAUGUUUGAUGUUCUAACGUGGGCCCCUUACCGGGGUUGCGGACAGUGUCUGGUGGGUAGUUUGACUGGGGCGGUCUCCUCCUAAAGAGUAACGGAGGAGCACGAAGGUUGGCUAAUCCUGGUCGGACAUCAGGAGGUUAGUGCAAUGGCAUAAGCCAGCUUGACUGCGAGCGUGACGGCGCGAGCAGGUGCGAAAGCAGGUCAUAGUGAUCCGGUGGUUCUGAAUGGAAGGGCCAUCGCUCAACGGAUAAAAGGUACUCCGGGGAUAACAGGCUGAUACCGCCCAAGAGUUCAUAUCGACGGCGGUGUUUGGCACCUCGAUGUCGGCUCAUCACAUCCUGGGGCUGAAGUAGGUCCCAAGGGUAUGGCUGUUCGCCAUUUAAAGUGGUACGCGAGCUGGGUUUAGAACGUCGUGAGACAGUUCGGUCCCUAUCUGCCGUGGGCGCUGGAGAACUGAGGGGGGCUGCUCCUAGUACGAGAGGACCGGAGUGGACGCAUCACUGGUGUUCGGGUUGUCAUGCCAAUGGCACUGCCCGGUAGCUAAAUGCGGAAGAGAUAAGUGCUGAAAGCAUC